Molecule: long non-coding RNA, 579 nt
Filed under: Mytilus galloprovincialis (Mediterranean mussel)
Lineage: Eukaryota; Metazoa; Mollusca; Bivalvia; Mytilida; Mytilidae
Source: RNAcentral
UUUAUUUCGUCAGCAACAGUAAUUGUGAACAAGGCAGUAAUGAAUAUAAAUAUUAAGUGAUAUUAUUUUUUUCUUGAUUUGUAAAUCUAGACAAUCAACUAUAGCAUUUUACUUUGCUCAAGUACAAGAACUUUUUACUUUGGUUAAAAAGUAGGAGUCAUAAGUUUGGGGUGUUCAUUUAUCACGUAUGAGAUGCAAUUGAUGUGCAUCUUAAUGCAUAUAUAGAAGUUUUAAAUUUUAAUUUCAUAUUUUUGUUAAGAACUUGGGAUAUUUUUAUAACAGAGUUAUUCUUCUUUGAUGCAGUUAUUAAUAUUCUAUUUGAUAAAGAAAUCAACAACAUGAAGACAUAUUUAGGUGGUACCUUACACUACAGGGAGAUAACUCUGUAAAAUCAGCAGAACGUUUUAAUGGCGUUGUGUUCUUAAGGGAAUAUUAAGCUUCUAAAUGAUCAAAAUGAGUGUUUGUCAAACUGCUAUAUAACCAGUGUAUUUUUUCUGAUUAAAGGAUUGGUUCAAUUUUUUUGAUUUUUUUUAUAUUUUUGUCAAAGGGUCAAAGUAAAUACUCUGUCAAAAUUUUAAG